RNAcentral lists this ribosomal RNA (460 nucleotides) under uncultured bacterium. Its description in RNAcentral is "partial 16S ribosomal RNA". It matches the Rfam family "Bacterial small subunit ribosomal RNA", at positions 338 to 795 of the family's 1533-position model. The record is from RNAcentral.
CCUACGGGGGGCAGCAGUGAGGAAUAUUGGUCAAUGGGCGAGAGCCUGAACCAGCCAAGUCGCGUGAGGGAGUACUGCCCUAUGAGUUGUAAACUGCUUUUGUACGAGGGUAAACCCCGAUACGUGUAUCGGGUUGAAAGUAUCGUACGAAUAAGGAUCGGCUAACUCCGUGCCAGCAGCCGCGGUAAUACGGAGGAUCCGAGCGUUAUCCGGAUUUAUUGGGUUUAAAGGGUGCGUAGGCGGUUUGAUAAGUUAGAGGUGAAAUGUCGGGGCUCAACCCCGAAACUGCCUCUAAUACUGUUGGACUAGAGAAUAGUUGCGGUAGGCGGAAUGUAUGGUGUAGCGGUGAAAUGCUUAGAGAUCAUACAGAACACCGAUUGCGAAGGCAGCUUACCAAACUAUAUCUGACGUUGAGGCACGAAAGCGUGGGUAGCAAACAGGAUUAGAUACCCGUGUAGUC